UAAUACAUGCAUAUACGUUCAACUUCUGUUGGAUGUGCUUUUAUUAGUGCAAACCAUGUCCUUCGGGACUGCAGGUGGCGACUCUGAAUAACUUUGCCGAGCAUUUCAGCCUUGUGCUGGUGCUAUUCCUUCAAAGUAUCUGCUCUAUCAACUGUCGAUGGUAUAUUAUAUGUUUACCAUGGUUGUAACGGGUAACGGGGAAUUAGGGUUCGAUUCCGGAGAGGGAGCCUGAGAAACGGCUACCACAUCUAAGGAAGGCAGCAGGCGCGCAAAUUACCCAAUCCCGGCUCGGGGAGGUAGUGACAAAAAAUAACAAUGCGGGACUCAAAUGAGGCUUCGUAAUUGGAAUGAGUACAUUCUAAAUCCUUUAACGAGGAACUAUUGGAGGGCAAGUCUGGUGCCAGCAGCCGCGGUAAUUCCAGCUCCAAUAGCGUAUAUUAAAAUUGUUGCGUCUAAAAAGCUCGUAGUUUGAAAACUUGCCUUGGCUUACAUUUGGUUCCCAAUGGGGGCCGCCGUUUGUUGAGAGCAAAUAUCGAUGACUGUUUUUGCCGACUUAACUGUCCGGCUUAUAAGAGUUAUCAAAUAUCACUUUGAUUAAAUUAGAGUGCUUAAAGCAAGUGUGUUACUUGGAUAUAAAUGCAUGGAAUGAUGGAAUAUGUUGUUGUUCUAUUUGUUGGUUUUUGAACGAUAAAAUGAUUGAAAGGAACUGUUGGGGGCAUUCGUAUUGUUGUGAGAGAGGUGAAAUUCUUAGACCACAGCAAGACGAACUACUGCGAAAGCAUUUGCCAAGAAUGUUUUCAUUGAUCAAGAACGAAAGUUAGAGGUUCGAA
RNAcentral lists this ribosomal RNA (830 nucleotides) under Phytoseius leaki. RNAcentral describes it as "SSU rRNA". It matches the Rfam family "Eukaryotic small subunit ribosomal RNA", at positions 165 to 1002 of the family's 1831-position model. The record is from RNAcentral. Lineage: Eukaryota; Metazoa; Arthropoda; Arachnida; Mesostigmata; Phytoseiidae.